Molecule: ribosomal RNA, 597 nt
Filed under: Candida albicans
Lineage: Eukaryota; Fungi; Ascomycota; Pichiomycetes; Serinales; Debaryomycetaceae
Description: LSU rRNA
Rfam family: Eukaryotic large subunit ribosomal RNA
Source: RNAcentral
CAAUAAGCGGAGGAAAAGAAACCAACAGGGAUUGCCUCAGUAGCGGCGAGUGAAGCGGCAAAAGCUCAAAUUUGAAAUCUGGCGUCUUUGGCGUCCGAGUUGUAAUUUGAAGAAGGUAUCUUUGGGCCCGGCUCUUGUCUAUGUUCCUUGGAACAGGACGUCACAGAGGGUGAGAAUCCCGUGCGAUGAGAUGACCCGGGUCUGUGUAAAGUUCCUUCGACGAGUCGAGUUGUUUGGGAAUGCAGCUCUAAGUGGGUGGUAAAUUCCAUCUAAAGCUAAAUAUUGGCGAGAGACCGAUAGCGAACAAGUACAGUGAUGGAAAGAUGAAAAGAACUUUGAAAAGAGAGUGAAAAAGUACGUGAAAUUGUUGAAAGGGAAGGGCUUGAGAUCAGACUUGGUAUUUUGCAUGUUGCUCUCUCGGGGGCGGCCGCUGCGGUUUACCGGGCCAGCAUCGGUUUGGAGCGGCAGGAUAAUGGCGGAGGAAUGUGGCACGGCUUCUGCUGUGUGUUAUAGCCUCUGACGAUACUGCCAGCCUAGACCGAGGACUGCGGUUUUUACCUAGGAUGUUGGCAUAAUGAUCUUAAGUCGCCCGUCUUG